CUUCUCAAUUCCACCAUGUCAUUAAAAAUUCACAAUAUUAGGUGAAGACCCUUAGCCCCCAGGGCACAGGCAUGACAUCAUCAAGGAUAGCGGCACAAAGGGGAAUCCCACAAUCAAGUUAUGCCAAACAAUUUCCUUUAAAAAUUCUGCAGAAGAACAUCUUUAAAGAUGGCAGAAGGGCAAGAGCUGUGGAAGU
This is a long non-coding RNA of Lontra canadensis (Northern American river otter), 196 nucleotides long. RefSeq lists it as uncharacterized. NCBI's taxonomy places the organism in Eukaryota, Metazoa, Chordata, Mammalia, Carnivora, Mustelidae. The record is from RefSeq and is a predicted model, not a curated record. The transcript is spliced from 3 exons.